AACUAACGCUGGCGGCGCGUCUUAAACAUGCAAGUCGAACGGUAGUCCAUAAGCUUGCUUAAGGAUGAGAGUGGCGAACGGGUGAGUAACACGUGGAUAAUCUGCCUCCGGGUUGGGGAUAACUGUCCGAAAGGAUAGCUAAUACCGAAUGAGAUGGUGGUUAUGCAAAUAACAGCCAUUAAAGGUGGGGACCGCAAGGCCUACUGCCUGGAGAUGAGUCCGCGGCUGAUUAGCUUGUUGGUGGGGUAACGGCCUACCAAGGCGACGAUCAGUAGCCGGCCUGAGAGGGUGAACGGCCACAUUGGGACUGAGAUACGGCCCAGACUCCUACGGGAGGCAGCAGUUAAGAAUCUUGCACAAUGGGCGCAAGCCUGAUGCAGCGACGCCGCGUGAAUGAUGAAGGCUUUCGGGUUG
Molecule: ribosomal RNA, 414 nt
Filed under: uncultured bacterium
Lineage: Bacteria
Description: bacterial SSU rRNA
Rfam family: Bacterial small subunit ribosomal RNA
Source: RNAcentral